ACUUUAGAGUCGUGGACGAAGGAAACCAGCACGGUAAGCUGUGUCUCUCCUCUUCCGUAUGGCAGCAUGUAGGAGCUCGUAAGCUGCACGCGAUUCUGUUUGUCUCUUCCCCCAAAUAGUUUCUAGUGACGAUCAGUAGCUUUCUUGGUUGCUUUGAGGAGUUCCACACUCUAUGCGAUAGUUCUUGCUGGGCUAAACUGAAUGGGAAUAGGGAACAAAAUGUGUGGGUUCCAAUUCGUUUCAACCCUCUUAUGGUGUGCCCGUGAGACCAGGAGGGCACACCUUCUUUAUGAGAUAAUUCCAAUGUGGCAUCCUAUCUUUUAUUGGACCACACAGUGUCAACUUGGGGUUGCCAUGUUGUCAUUCUCUCUUCUUUUAUCUCAGCUUGGAGGUUGGAUGCUUAUUAAGCUGUUAAUCCAGAAUUCAGCUGUCAACCUCAAAUUGACGCAAUUUGAGGAUCAUCUCCAGCAUGAAUCUUGAGGAGCCAAGGGGAGGGCAAAAGAAGAGGAUAGGUUGACGAUCCAAAUAUCCAAGUAAAGCCUGACCUUUGUUGGGAGUGUUUCCGAUACCUAAGUUAGAGUGAGUCCUAAAAUAAGAUUUAAAGACGGUAUCUAGAGAGACAUGUAUAAUUUUGAGUUCUAUUUUAUAGUCGAGAAUUUCUAACUGUUUAAGGAU
Long non-coding RNA from Musa acuminata AAA Group (dessert banana), 675 nucleotides. RefSeq lists it as uncharacterized. Lineage: Eukaryota; Viridiplantae; Streptophyta; Magnoliopsida; Zingiberales; Musaceae. The record is from RefSeq and is a predicted model, not a curated record. The transcript is spliced from 3 exons.